RNAcentral lists this ribosomal RNA (492 nucleotides) under uncultured bacterium. Its description in RNAcentral is "partial 16S ribosomal RNA". It matches the Rfam family "Bacterial small subunit ribosomal RNA", at positions 29 to 507 of the family's 1533-position model. The record is from RNAcentral.
AGUGAACGCUGGCGGUAGGCCUAACACAUGCCAGUCGAACGGCAGCACAGUAAGAGCUUGCUCUUACGGGUGGCGAGUGGCGGACGGGUGAGGAAUACAUCGGAAUCUACUUUUUCGGGGGGGAUAACGUAGGGAAACUUACGCUAAUACCGCAUACGACCUACGGGUGAAAGCAGGGGAUCUUCGGACCUUGCGCGAAUGAAUGAGCCGAUGUCGGAUUAGCUAGUUGGCGGGGUAAGGGCCCACCAAGGCGACGAUCCGUAGCUGGUCUGAGAGGAUGAUCAGCCACACUGGAACUGGGACACGCUCCAGACUCCUACGGGAGGCAGCAGUGGGGUAUAUUGGACAAUGGGCGCAAGCCUGAUCCAGCCAUACCGCGUGGGUGAAGAAGGCCUUCGGGUUGUAAAGCCCUUUUGUUGGGAAAGAAAAGCAGCAGGUUAAUACCCCGCUGUUCUGACGGUACCCAAAGAAUAAGCACCGGCUAACUUCGUG